Molecule: long non-coding RNA, 625 nt
Organism: Talpa occidentalis (Iberian mole)
Lineage: Eukaryota; Metazoa; Chordata; Mammalia; Eulipotyphla; Talpidae
Exons: 5
Source: RefSeq, a predicted model, not a curated record
CACUGGUGAGUUUCACCAAUGUCUCACCACCUAUAUCACUUUGAGAGAAAAACCCAGAAAGUUUAUAUUAUGCAAGCCGCAAAUUAACUAGUAUCAAUGAAAGGCUUUGAAAAUUACAAAGCACUAUGUAAACACGAGGUAUUUGAAUUAGAAGGCUGCUGGCUUUCGUGCUUGGUGGAUUAUGGCGCCUUUGGCCAGGGGAACUCCACAAAGUGAGCAAGCACAGUGCAACUCCCGGGGAGAACUUCACAGUGAUCCAGACGCAAGUGGGGGACACUCCUCUGCAUUUAGAUGGUCUGACUGAUGGCGUUUUGACUUGAUGUCGGUGCGAAAACACUAUGCGUGAUUCAGCAGAAACCACGCUUGCAGCUCCCAGAUAGCAUGCGACAGGCACACUGCGGAACUGGAGGAGAAAAGACAAGAUCACAAGAGAAUGGGAAACCUUCGAUGAAACGCCAGUGGCAUCUGCUUCGUCCUCCAGAUACGCUGUGAAUUCAACAGACAUUUCAAAUUGGAGGUGAACCUAAAGAAUUCUUGGGCUACCCUUGAUAAAGUUUAUAGAAGAAAUGGAAGUUUCUACACUGGGACCUCAAAGGAGGGAGGGGAAAGCCUUGUUAUAUUUCCC